CCUACGGGGGGCAGCAGUGGGGAAUAUUGGGCAAUGGGCGCAAGCCUGACCCAGCAACGCCGCGUGAAGGAAGAAGGCUUUCGGGUUGUAAACUUCUUUUAAGGGGGAAGAGCAGAAGACGGUACCCCUUGAAUAAGCCACGACUAACUACGUGCCAGCAGCCGCGGUAAUACGUAGGUGGCAAGCGUUGUCCGGAUUUACUGGGUGUAAAGGGCGUGCAGCCGGAGAGACAAGUCAGAUGUGAAAUCCACGGGCUCAACCCGUGAACUGCAUUUGAAACCGUUUCCCUUGAGUGUCGGAGAGGUAAUCGGAAUUCCUUGUGGAGCGGUGAAAUGCGUAGAUAUAAGGAAGAACACCAGUGGCGAAGGCGGAUUACUGGACGAUAACUGACGGUGAGGCGCGAAAGCGUGGGGAGCAAACAGGAUUAGAUACCCUUGUAGUC
RNAcentral lists this ribosomal RNA (442 nucleotides) under uncultured bacterium. RNAcentral describes it as "partial 16S ribosomal RNA". It matches the Rfam family "Bacterial small subunit ribosomal RNA", at positions 338 to 795 of the family's 1533-position model. The record is from RNAcentral.